Rattus norvegicus (Norway rat) is the source of this 801-nucleotide non-coding RNA. Lineage: Eukaryota; Metazoa; Chordata; Mammalia; Rodentia; Muridae. The record is from RefSeq and is a predicted model, not a curated record.
GAAUUCACUGGGGCCUUCGGCUUCCUCUGGGGCCUUCCUGAGAGGCCGGGCCUGCUUUGCUGCAGGUAAUGCAUUCCUUCAGAGCGGGGAAACCGAAUCCUUGUAAUUAGCGUGUCCAGGACAGGGCAAGUCGCCCCCUCCCUUGCACGUCGGCCCUUGGGGGGCCCCCGAAGCUUUCUAAGGAGCUCAGCCCCUGAAACGCGCCAGCCUCGUCGAAUUGAAAACUUUCUCGGGCGGCUCGGUGGGCCUGAAAAUCAGGACACAGGGGAGGGGAGCCGAGAGCGGCGAUCGGAGCACUUAACCCUUGGCACGCCGGGUGCCGGGCCCGCGGCCCCCCUCAAACACUCCCUCCCCAACCUCGGACCGCACGCCCCUGCGGGCGUCUUCACAGAGGGACGCCGGCGUCCUGGGCUCCACCACCGCGGCGUCCUGGGCUCCACCACCGCGCCUGAUCGCCGCGUUAAGUGUACAGAUGUCAGUCUGGUGUUUUACACGAUUUCCAGAUUAUAAAUCAGGAUUUUUCAUCUGGGUUCCAUGAGGUGCGCCCUUGAACAUGUUACCAAAACCUCAUCUCCUCUCAAUGCAACUGAUACAUCCCCUGUUGGCCUCACAGAGGAGGAUGGGGCCCAAAGGACUCAAAGGCAUUGAUUCAAACACACAGCUAUAUUAGCAAUCUGUCUGGGUUAUGAGGUCCUGCUAUAAUAAAAUAAACACUGCUUUUAUGAAAUAAAAGAAAUAAUAAUAAUAAUAACAACAACAACAAUAAUAAAAAGACUGUGCAUGUGUAUAGGUUUUGAAAAA